This 107-nucleotide small nuclear RNA is filed under the name Carlito syrichta (Philippine tarsier). Lineage: Eukaryota; Metazoa; Chordata; Mammalia; Primates; Tarsiidae. The record is from RNAcentral.
GUGCUCACUUCGGCAGCACAUCCGCUAAAACUGGAACUCUACAGAGAGGAUUAGUGUGGGUCUGCUCAAGGAUGACUACAAAUUGAUGAAACACUUUACAAUUUUUU